CAACCCUCGAGCUCGUCUUCAUUGACGAGAUCGGUGUUGGGACCCGGCGAUCGGGGACUUUAGUUCCUCUGCCGGUCCUGAAAUUCAGUGGCGGCCCGUUGCGGCGACCUCUGCGUAGUAACUUAACCUCGCACUGGGACAGCAGCGCGGCCACGCCGUAAAACCCCCGACUUUUUUAA
RNAcentral lists this unclassified non-coding RNA (179 nucleotides) under uncultured Simplicillium. RNAcentral describes it as "sequence contains ITS2". The record is from RNAcentral. Lineage: Eukaryota; Fungi; Ascomycota; Sordariomycetes; Hypocreales; Cordycipitaceae.